Panonychus citri (citrus red mite) is the source of this 1155-nucleotide long non-coding RNA. RefSeq lists it as uncharacterized. The record is from RefSeq and is a predicted model, not a curated record. The transcript has 3 exons. Lineage: Eukaryota; Metazoa; Arthropoda; Arachnida; Trombidiformes; Tetranychidae.
UUUAAAUUUUCUUUCAGUUCAAUUAAGUGAUUAAUUAAAUGUUUCCAAAGUGGAAUUGAAAUUGAUUUAAAUUCUAAUUGAUUAUUAAGUGACUUUGGAAUUAAAAGAAAAAGGAAUUAGUUUAAUUUCUAUGAUAUUAUUUUGCAAUUUGUUUGAUCAAAGUUCCUCUUCUCUUAGGCCUAAGAAUUUCGGUCUUUUAGGAUUUUAUUUUGAUCUUUGAUUGUUGGACUUUCUUUGGACGUUGGAAUUAAAAGUUGACAUUUAAUUGGUUUGGGUGAAAAUCCUGAAGAUGAUUGAGAUUCUUUCAUAUUCGCCUGAUGUUUACUCUCAAUGAAUUUUGAAAUUUUGCUUUUCUUCAUUUGAAUUGGUUCUCAUUUGGAAUUAAUUGUUUCAUCUAAAUGAAUGGUUAUCAUAUUCACUUCCUUGUUUUAGUGGCCAACCUGAAAUAAAAGGAAUAGAUUACAAGGAAAAAGAUUAAUGCCUGAUAAUUGUGAUUGAUUCAUUUUGAUCAUUUUCGAUUCAAGUGUAUAUGUUUCAUUGGAGUUUCUCUAUAAUUGGUGUAAGAAUGAAUUGACGAAAAAAAUGGAAGAUCCAAUUAAAUGGAAUUACAUUUGCUCCGUUUCGUUACUCCAACGUCAAUGGAAAUGCUGAUAAAAGGAUUUACAUGAUUGUCUAUCAACGGGGAAUACAAAAUGAUUGCCACAAUGAUUUAUUUGCCUACAUCGAGGAUUACGAAAACUUGGCAACAAUUAAUGUAAUCAAUAAAUCAUUCAUUUGGUUGAUGUUGAUUGGAAAAAGCUGAUUCAAGAUUAUGCGUUUUUAUAAAUUAACAAAUUGUGGUAUAAAAGAAAACAAAGUCAACCGAACUAAUUGUAAUUGGAUUACGAGUUGUUAUCCAAGGUGCUCAUGUUUUCCUUUAACCGAAUAAUAAUUAAUCCAAUUACGACUCUUUAGAGAAAUUAAUUAUUUUCGGCGCUCGCACUUUUUGGUUAACAAUCCGGCAACUGGAUUUAGACAAUUAAUCAAGUGCUAAUUGUUCAACAUAAUUAUAAACAAUUUAUAAACACAAACCAUUGUAAUUGAACAGUAAGUCUAAUCUAAAUUAUAUACAGUAUAUUUGAUUGAAUUACAACAAAUCAACAGCAAUUUAAUUAU